This 263-nucleotide unclassified non-coding RNA is filed under the name plant metagenome. Its description in RNAcentral is "partial contains small subunit ribosomal RNA, internal transcribed spacer 1, and 5.8S ribosomal RNA". The record is from RNAcentral.
UUUCCGUAGGUGAACCUGCGGAAGGAUCAUUAUUGUAUAACCGAGGUGCGAGGCCUGUCGCUGACCCGAAAGGUCGUGCACGCCCGAGUGCCCUCACCCACAUCCAUCUCACCCCUAUGUGCACCACCGCGUGGGUCCCCCUUUGGCUUGUUCGGAGGGGGGCUUACGUUUUCACAAAAACUUUGUAUGCAGUGUAGAAUAUAUUUUUUGUUUUUGCGAUCACGCAAUCACUAAAACUUUCAACAACGGAUCUCUUGGCUCUC